Molecule: long non-coding RNA, 2011 nt
Filed under: Capra hircus (goat)
Lineage: Eukaryota; Metazoa; Chordata; Mammalia; Artiodactyla; Bovidae
Description: lncRNA (ENSCHIG00010025278.1)
Source: RNAcentral
GCUUGAAUAUGUUUUCAUGUUUGUGGAAGAGUUCAGUCAUCCCUUGAAAACUUCUCUGGCAUGGCUUCCCCAGUCUUGACUCACCUGUUUUUUUAAAGUGUUUUGACUUGCUGUAGCAACUCUACCCAUCACGUGUGCCCUGCAGCCUAAGGACCUAGAUCCUUUGUCCUAAAUCUUCCCAUCAAUAACUUGAGGGCAAUCAUACUGAACUCUCUUAAUUACCUCAUCAAAAACUCGGAAGAACAAGUGACAAGACACUCCUCAAUUCCUUAGGAGAAACAUGCCUUCACUGGCAUUAGAAUUAUCAUCAUAAAGAAAACCAUUAGAUCCUAGGGAGGUGCAAAAGCUAAAAUAGGGCCCAAAUUUUCCCAAGGGUGAGGAAAGGAUUGUGGGUGAGGAGGGAGGGAGGAAGAAAAGAGAAAGAAUCUUCCUUUUAAACAUGCGUUCUCUCUCCCCUCACAGAGUUACCUGGUCCAAACAGGAGCUGAACAGAAUUAGUAUUAUCAGAUAAUAUCUGUAGUCAAUAUUAGUUCAUACUUUUGCAAAAAGCUUUUCUUAGAGACAGUCCAGUGAAAGAAACACUACCAGGUGCUACUCCAGGAACACCUGGUGCUUGGCUCAGCACCCUGAUCCGUAGGAACGUCAGGGAACAACCGAGCCCUGUGUACGAACCAGGCAGCUGGUUGCAUGUGAAGGUUUUGCCACCAGGUCACAUUUAGGUCAAGAAGCAGAACUUCCGCCUCUACUCCCUCUACCCCACCACAUGCAGUCCUUGAAACCUCCUUUUUUUUUUUUUUGUACUUUGUUAAAACGAUGAAAUUUUAUGAGAAAUUAUCUCACCUAUCAGCUGAGAUUUUAAUAUUUUCCCAGNNNNNNNNNNNNNNNNNNNNNNNNNNNNNNNNNNNNNNNNNNNNNNNNNNNNNNNNNNNNNNNNNNNNNNNNNNNNNNNNNNNNNNNNNNNNNNNNNNNUAUGAGAAAUUAUCUCACCUAUCAGCUGAGAUUUUAAUAUUUUCCCAGUGGCUACCCUUCCAUGGGGUGGACUGGUGCUGCAACCCUCUGCCCCCACUGAGGGCAAAGGUCACUAUCCUCAACUCUCGCCAGCCUCUGGGGGCCUUUCUUCCACCUCAAGGUGGUUCAGGAAGCAGCUGCCUGUCACCCCACCACCAUUCCAGCUUUUCAUAUUAGCAGACAGGAAGCUGACAUUUAUACUGUUUCUGCCACUUAUUCACAGGAUAAAGCCUACCCACUCACAUCCAUUUAUUUACCCCUGAUCCAUUUUCUCCAAAUUUGCUUGCUUCUUCGCUGACAGAAUGACUAGAAGGCUGGCCCAACGGAACUAUUUCACAAAACCUGACUGGAAGCUUAUCUGAGGAGCACGGAGACCCUUUCCACUGAGACCCUUCCCCUAUACUGAGGCUGAACUUUUAGGGAUUUUGGUUUAUAGCUCUUGGGCAGCUCAAGGUAAUGGAAGAAGUCUCUAAAACCUGCAGUAGAAAAUGACUUGCAGAACCUCCCCACUCAUGACAGUUUCAUGAGGCUCGUGUUUUCGCUUUUGAUUCCUGUGUUUUGAAGGGCUGGCUGCCUUCUGCCCACCUCGCACUAGAAGCUGCAGUGCCUUUUUCUUCUUGCUUUCUUUUUCCUCCUCUGGCCUCAUCAUGUCUUGGUCUCCUCCUCUGGUCUACGCCCUUGUUUAUAAGUCUAGGUUCACUGAUUCAGCUCUGUCUGUGGUCUGAGAGAGGAUGGGUGUCAUUUUCAACCUCUUGUCACACCCAGUAUAGCACUAGGGAAAAAAAAAAAGGUCUCAUUUUGAAGAGGUAGGUAAGAGGGAUUGACACAAUCGUGAAGAGACAAAACAAACCAUAGAUUGUUUUUUUAACACCUCUCAGCUGAAGAGAAAUCCAAGAGCAGGAACCAGAGGGAGUAGGAUGGAGAGGAGAGAAAAGGGGAGCCCAAAAUAAAGUGCCUCAAAAUAAAGGCCCCUCGGUCAUAACAAAAUUUCUCCAUGGGCAAC